AGAACAUACCGGGUGUAAACUUGGAGGUGCAUUCAGGGGCAGGAGAGAGGCAGAGGAUGAAGAGUGGUAGUCUGAGAGUACGAAGGAAGAUCCUAGCUGUGGUUGUGGUGUUUGUGGCAUGUUUCCUGCCCUACCAUGUCCAGCGUGCAGUGACCCUGCUCUCACCACAUGGGGGAGACUGUGAGAAGUUGAGAACACAAUGGAAGGCGAAGAAUGCAACUAUAACCAUAGCAGCUCUGAGCUGCAUUGUACAUCCCUUACUCCAUCUGGCCUUGCGCCAUCUGCCCUGCUGCAGAAGACUACAGUAAAAGAUACAGACCGAACCCACCCAGCCACUCACUGCUGUGGGCAACUGUAAGAGGCCUAGCUGGUUGAGAGAAUGCCUAGUGUGUGCAAAGCUGUCAUCAAGGCAUAGGGUGGCUACUUUGAAGAAUCUAAAAUCUAAAAUAUAUAUUUGAUUUGUUUAACACUUUUUUGGUUACUACAUGAUUCUAUAUGUGUCAUUUCAUAUUUUUUGUCUUCAGUAUUAUUCUACAAUGUAGUAAAUAGUAAAAAUAAAGAAAAACCAUUGAAUGAGUAGGUGUGUCCAAACUUUUGAUUGGUACUGUAUAUAUACACAGUGCAUUCGGAAAGUAUUCAGACCCCUUGACUUAUUUUGUUACGUUACAGCCUUAUUCUAAAAUGUAUGAAAUUUUAGCAAUUCUUUUUAGCAAAUUUAUAUAAAAUAAAAUUAAUACCUUAUUUACAUUCAAACCCUUUACUAUGAGACUCGAAAUUGAGCUCAGAUGCAUCCUGUUUCCAUUGAUCAUCCUUGAGAUGUUUCUACGACUUGAUUGGAGUCCACCUGUGUUAAAAUCAAUUGAUUGGACAUGAUUUGGAAAGGCACACACUUGUCUUUUUAAGGUCCCACAGUUGACAGUGCAUGUCAGAGCAAAAACCAAGCCAUGAAGUUGAAGGAAUUGUCUAUAGAGCUCAGAGACAGGAUUGUGUUGAGGCACAGAUCUGGGGAAGGGUGCUUAAAAAAUUACUCAGCAUUGAAGGUCACCAAGAACACCGUGACCUCCAUCAUCCUUAAAUGGAAGAAGUUUGGAACCAACAAGACUCUUCCUAGAACUGGCCACCCGGCCAAACUGAGCAAUUGUGGGAGAAUGGCCUUGGUCAGGGAGGAGACAAGAACCCAAUGGUUACUCUGACAGAACUCCAGAGUUCCUCUGUGGAGAUGGGAGAACCUUUCAGAAGGACAACCCAUCUCUGCAGCACUUCACCAAUCAGGCCUUUAUGGUAGAGUGGCCAGACUGAAGCCAUUCCUCAGUAAAAGGCACAUGACAGCCCACUUGGAGUUUGCAAAAAGAACAGUAUUUUCUACAAGAUUCUCUGGUCUGAUGAAACCAAGAUUGAACUCUUUGGCCUGAAUGCCAAACAUCAUGCCUGGAGGAAACCUGGCACCAUCCCUAUAGUGAAGCAUGGUGGUGGCAGCAUCAUGCUGUGAGGAUGUUUGUCAGCGUCAGGGACAGCGAGAAUAGUCAGGAUCGAGGGAAAGAUGAAUGGAGCAAAGUAUUGAAAAAUCCUUGAUAAAAAACUGCUCUAGAGUGCUCAGGACCUCAGACUGGGGUGAAGGUUCACCUUCCAACAGGACAAUGGCCUUAAGCACACAGCCAAGACAACGCAGGAGUGGCUUUGGGACAAGUCUCUGAAUGUCCUUGAGUGGCCCAGCCAGAGCCCGGACUUGAACCUGAUCGAACAUCUCUGGAGAGACCUGAAAAUAUCUGUGCAGCAACGCUACCCAUCCAACCUGACAGAGCUUGAGAGGAUCUGCAGAGAAGAAUGGGAGAAACUCCCCAAAUACAGGUGUGCCAAGUUUGUAGUGUCAUACCCAAGAAGACUCAAGGCUGUAAUCGCUGUAAAAAGUCGUAAUACUUUGUCAUUUUUUUUGCAAACAUUUAUAGAAACCUGUUUUUCCUUUGCCAAUAUGGGGUAUUGUGUGUAGAUUGAGGGGAAAAAACAAUAUAAUCCCUUUUAGAAUAAGGCUGUAAAGUAACAAAAUGUGGAAAAAGUGAAGGAGUCUGAAUACGUUCUAAACGCCCUGUACAUGUAAUUAUUACUAUUUAAAAAUGUUUUGCCUGUUCUGCGUGUUAUUUUUUCAUUAAUACGUGCCACACAUCAGUUUGCAAACAUUGUAAAAAAAAAAAUAAUUAAGUUAACUUCUUCGAGAUAGGGGGCGCUCUUUUAAUUUUUGGAUAAAAAACGUUCCCGUUUUAAACAAGAUAUUUUGUCACGAAAAGAUGCUUGACUAUGCAUGUAAUUGACAGCUUUGGAAAGAAAAAACUCUGACGUUUCCAAAACUGCAAAGAUAUUAUCUGUGAGUGCCCCAGAACUAAUGCUACAGGCGAAAUGCCCCAGAUUCUGAAGGCGCUGUGUUCCAAUGUCUCCUUAUAUGGCUGUGAAUGCGCCAGGAAUGUGCCUGCACUUUCCGUCGUUUCCCCAAGGUGUCUGCAGCAUUGUGACGUAUUUGUAGGAAUAUCAUUGGAAGAUUGACCAUAAGAGACUACAUUUACCAGGUGUCCGCCCGGUGUCCUGCGUCAAAAUUAUUGCGUAAUCUCCGGGUCCAUGCGCGUUCCAUUUCUUCAGAGGAGAAACCAAACUGCCACGAAUGAUUUAUCAUCGAUAGAUAUGUGAAAAACACCUUGAGGAUUGAUUCUAAACAACGCUUGCCAUGUUUCUGUCGAUAUUAUGGAGUUAAUUUGGAAAAAAGUUUGCGUUGUAAUGACUUAAUUUUCUUUUUUUGUCUCACCCAAACGUGAUGAACAAAACGGAGCGAUUUGUCCUUCACAAAUAAUAUUUUUGGAAAAACUGAACAUUUGCUAUCUAACUGAGAGUCUCCACAUUGAAAACAUCUAAAGUUCCUCAAAGGUAAAUGAUUUUAUUUGAAUGCUUUUCUUGUUUUUGUGAAAAUGCUGCAUGCUGAAUGCUAGGCUUAAUGCUAUGCUAGGCUAUCAAUACUCUUACACAAAUGCUUGUUUAGCUAUGGUUCAAAAGCAUAUUUUGAAAAUCUGAGAUGACAGUGUUGUUAACAAAAGGCUAAGCUUGAGAGCAAAUAUAUUUAUUUCAUUUAAUUUGCGAUUUUCAUUAAUAGUUAACGUUGCGUUACGGUAAUGAGCUUGAGGCUAUAAAUAGGAUCCCGGAUACGGGAUUGCUCGUCGCAACAGGUUAACAAAGCCACAUACAAACAUGGUCCGUUAUAGUGCAAUUCGUGUUUUGUUUAGUGUUGUGUUGUGGCUUUGCUGGCAUGCAUCGAAAACAAAUUGGGGAAGUCUGGCCAAUCAAGAUUUACAUGCUAAAAUCACCACCGCAAGCAACUAUCCUGCACCAUUCCCAGAAAGUUGUGGGAAGGUUGUAUGCAAAAUAACCAUAGGACAACCACACUCUCACCAAGCUCUAAGAAACAUAUGGUUCUCAGAACGUUAUGUGCUGGCUGGGAGUACUGCCUCUGACCGAUAUACAGCACAAACACAGCUGAUAAUAGCUGUCACAUCACAAAAACACAUUACAAUGUAACACGGCUCUUUUAACAAUAUAUACAUUUUCAACACAACAACAACAUGCAUUAUUUGGCUAUAUUUUCUCUUCAGCUACAUGAGUGUUUCUCAGCAGACGUCGGUGGCCCUCAGCCUGUAACUUGGUUCCCUACGGUCUUCCUCUCACCACCUCUCACCCAGACAACUGAAAAUAACUUGCACAAACCAUGCAUGCAAACAGCGUCAGAAACACUCAGUCACAAACUCAAACACACCAACUCUCUCACACACUUCCCCUCCUCAAAUGUAAUACCAUAGAAACACAGUCAAUAGUACAAACGCAAAAGCGCCAAACAGGAAAAAGGAUGCUACACAUACACCUUCCUCAUUUCAACAUAUCAUACAACUACAGUGCCUUCAGAAAGUACUCACUCCACUUGAACAUUUUUCCACAAUUUGUAAUGUCACAGCCUCAAUUUUAAAUGGACUAAAUUGAGAUUGUGUGUCACUGGCCUACACACAACACCCCAUGCAUGGACUCACUCUGUGUGCAAUAAUAGUGUUUAACAUGAUUUUUGAAUGACUACCUCAUCUCUGUACCCGACACGUACAAUUAUACAAUUUAAGGCCCCUUAGUCAAGCAGUGAAUUUCAAACACAGAUGCAACCACAAAGACCAGGGAGAUUUCCCAAUACCUCGCAAAGAAUGGCACCUGUUGGUAGAUUAUUCAAAUAAAGAAAGCAGAUAUUGAAUAUGGUGAAGUUAUUAAUUACACUUUACAGGCGACUUCCUAACUCAGUUGCCAGAGAGGAAGGAAACUGCUCAGGGAUUUCACCAUCAGGCCAAUGGUGACUUUAAAACAGUUAUAGAGUUUAAUGGCUGUGAUAGGAGAAAAUUGAGGAUGGAUCAACAACAGUGUAUUUACUCCACAAUACUAACCUAAAUGACAGAAGAAAGACUGUACAGUAUAAAAAUAUUCCAAAACACGCAUCCUGUUUGCAAUAAAGGACUAAAGUAAAACUGCAAAACAAUUGGCAAAGAAAUGAACUAUGUCAUGAAUACAAAGCAUUAUGUUUGGGGCAAAUCCAACACAUCAUGGAGUACAGCUUCAUAUUUUCAAGCAUGGUGGUGGCUGCACCAUGUUAUUGAAAUGCUUGUAAUCAUUACUGAGUGGGGUGUUUUUCAGGAUAAAAAAGAAACAGAACGGAGCUAAGCACAGGCAUAAUCAUAGAGAAAAACUUGGUUCAGUCUGCUUUCCACGUGACACUGGGAGAUGAAUUCACCUUUCAGCAGGAGAAUAAUCUAAAAUACAAGGCCAAGUUGCUUACCAAGACGACACUGAAUGUGAUUGUGUUGGCCGAGUGGCCUACUUACAGUUUUGACUUAAAUCGGCUUGAAAAUCUAUGGCGAGACCUGAAGAUUGAUGUCUAGAAAUGAUGAACAAUCAACUUGACACAGCUUGAAGAAUUUUAAAAAGAAUAAUGGGCAAAUAUUGUACAAUCCAGGUGUGCAAAGCUCUUAGAGACUUACUCAAAAACACUCAUAGCUGUAAUCACCGCCAAAGGUGCUUCUACAAAGUAUUGACUCAGGGGUGUGACUACUUAUGUAAAUGAGAUAUUUCUGUAUUUAAUUUUCAAUACAUUUGCAAAAAUGUCUAAAAACACGUUUUCACUUUGUGAGUAUGGGGUGUUGUGUGUAGAUGUGGGUGAGAAAACUAAAUGUAUUUAUAUUUUGAAUUCAGGCUGUAACACAACAAAAUGUGAAAUACAGUGCGUUUGGAAAUUAUUCAGACCUUUUUGUUACGUUACAGCUUUAUUCUAAAAUGGAUUUAAAAAAUGUAAAAAAAAUCCCUCAUCAAUCAGUGAUGAAUUAUGCUUCACCAUCUGGCAAUCCGACGGACAAAAUCUGGGUUUGGCGGAUGCCAGGAAAACGCUACCUUCCCGAAUGAAUAGUGCAAACUGUAAAGUUUGGUGGAGAAGGAAUAAUUGUCUGGGGCUAUUUUCCAUGGUUCGAACUAGGCCCCUUAAUUCCAGGGAAGGGAAAUCUUAACUCUACAGCAUAAAAUUACAUCGAACACCCAUCAAACACCUUUGGGAUUAAUUGGAACGACGACUGUGAACCAGGCCUAAUCGCCCAUCGUCUGUGCCCGACCUCAUUAAUGCUCAUGGCUAAAUGGAAGAAAGUCCCUGCAGCAAUCUAUUAUCUUAGUGAUACAAGAAGUGGCACUGUGUUUAUAGCCAUAUUGGUUAUCUUGUCUAGCUCUGGUGCAACAUUCGUAUUUAAUGCUUCCAGUCUCAGUUAGUCUCACAGAUCGAUGGAGAACACAUCCCAACCCUUCUCAUCUGUGUCCAACACCUCCUACCUCUUUCCCACCUCCAUUUCUCCCUCCUCCCACUACACACUUAAUCCUCCCCUCCCAAGCUUCGUCCGCGCCUCCCUCUACGCCCUCCUCUUCCCCACAGGUCUCCUGGGCAAUGCUCUUUCUCACUGUGUGUUCCUGAGGUGUAUCCCGACCCAGACUUCUACCUGUCCAACUUACUCUUCUCCCUCACCACCUCUUUCCUGGCCAACUACUGCUCACAGGGAAGAAAAGCACCAAAAGAUUCCUCGUCAAUUCCUUCCCAGAGCCUGGUCUGCCUAGUCCUCCACGGGGUCACACUUGUCCAGAAUAUCAAUAUCUACGUCAGUGUCUUAAUCCUGACCUGGGUGCCGCUCACUGGCUUCGCCAUCCUCAUCUAGCACACAUAUGCCACCCGCCCCAGCACCUGCGCCGACCCUGCUUCCCCACGCCUUCUUCACCAGACUGAGGAGGGUGGGCUUCACAAAGGCCGUUUCACCAAGGCCGCCCCAGCACCUGCGCCCGGGUGGUGGUGCUGGCCAGAGUACCCGUGGCAGUUUACUAUUUAGUGAGAGAGACAGAGGUGGGGGGAGGGGGCGAGGAUGAAGGGAGAGGAGGAGGGGAGGGGAAUAUGCUCCAGUGUGGCGGUGGAGGUGCGGGGCAGCCUGUCGAUGGGGACGAUGGUGGCGGCCAUUGUGAUCUUCUUUGUGUGUUUCCUGCUGGUGCUGACUUUGUACGUGGCCAAGCAUAUGGAGGUUGCGGCGGUGCACCAUCGUCAACGACUCCCAGAGGCUGCUGGGAAAAGUGUUCCGGAACAUUGUAGUGAUCCAGGUGGUUCUGAUAGUGUGCCUGCUUCCUCAUCACAAGUUAAUCUUUAUCUCCAUGGUCCAGCACAAAGUUGACCCAGCCACCACCGCCACCAGGGGGCCCUGCCAUCCUCUCUCUGCCAUCAUCUUUUAUCCUUUAAAUGAAAGGUGCACUACGCAGCAUUUUCAAUAGACUAUUAGAUAACUAUAGGCAAUAUUUGUCACAUUUUAUUUUCGUUUCAAGAGCACUUCCAGAAGAACAUCAUGUUUUGUGGAGUUAUCAUCAGUCAUAGGUAUACAUGAAGGAAAGUUUGAAGCCGUCAAACAUCGAAACAGUAUGUUGAUUUUUGAUUCAGGUCAAGAACUUCCUGCUUUGUCUCGCUGCACUGCGGAGUGCCACCAACUCGUAAAUGUAUUUCCUGUUGGACAAGACCCGCCCACAGAAGCCCAGAAAACAAUCAUCAGGCGGGCCUACCAUGCAGGCCACCACCAGAGUCAAUCCAAAUUGUGGGAGGUUGGAGGUGACUGUGUCAUAAGGGUCAGGGGCCAUGGAAAGAGUCACCCAGGGGGAACUGGAGUCUGGGCAGUGCUCUGUAAAGGCUUGUUAUAUUGACCACUUUCAUCACUUCAGGAGAAGUGAGACCAAUGUUUUUACCAUGUGCUGCUGUUUUUUUUCUUCCUACUUCAUUCAAAGAGAACCAUGUAUAUUUAUUAGGGAGAAUAAAUGUGGAACUGAUACUGUAAGGCUCAACACAGGAGAUGAGAAGCAGGUACAGGGAGUGAAACAUUUAAUACAGACGGACAUGCAGCGGAACAGGAACAGCGUCUGGACAUAAACACGACACGGCAAACAAUGCUACUACAGGGAACAACCCAGAGGAGCAGACAUAGAUGCAGGGGCAACAAAGUGAGGGAGUCCAGGUGAGUCCAAUGAGUGCAACUGCGCGUACUGAUGGUAACAGGUGUGUAUGAUGACGGGUAGCCUGGCGCCCUCGAGUGCCAGGGAGGGGGAGCAGGAGUGACUUAUACAGUGUGCGGUGUGCUUGGGUAAUACAUAUGUAAAAAUGUGUAUUAUAAAUCUUAUAGGUGUAAAGCGGUAUGUGUUUAAUCCUGCAGGAUGUGAGUGUGUAUUGUUCUGUGAAGUGUGGGUCUUGCAGAUGGCUGUGCUCUGGGAGGACUAGACAAAGGCAGACAGGCGAGAGAAUCUGCCACACUCCACUGUACACACACACACACACAGAAAGAGAGAUCGAGAGAGGAUGAGAGGAAGGGAGGAAAAAAUCCCCACUGGUAUUGCCCAGAGGCAGCAAUUAUUGCAAACCUACACUAGCUUCAGCAGAAGACUUCUGCCUUCAAUCUUUAACCUGUACCCGUUAUGCAGAGUGCACACUGUUUGUAUUUCCUUGCCUGAAUAUAAUAGUCAAAGUGCUACCUUUUCAAACAACAAUAAUCACGUCUCUGAGUGUAUGCUAAAAAGAGUGACCACCACAUUGACAAUUGAUAUGAGUCAUUCAGCAGACACUUCUGUACAUCCAGAGCUGCUUACAGAAUGUGUACGGUCGCACGCGUGAGUGUGUAUGUGUGUGCAUACAAGCGUGUGAUUUUUUAAAAAUAGAAAAGUGUCCUUCAGUCAAGCAUAUACACUUUCACACAUAUUAAGCUCAAUUAAGGUAACCAACACAGCAUUUUAAUCAAAGGCAUUUAUUUUGGCUCCACUUUAAACCUGAUUUAUCCUGGCUGUUUAUAGCAGAUUAGGGCUGUAAUUCACAAUAUCUCUACCAUGGCUCACACUCAUUAACUAUGCCAGUGGUCCACGGGGGGGGGGAGUGAAUGAGUGUGCGCUAGGACUGGGUGGUGUACCGUAUUUUACUAUAUACCGGUAUUGAUGGAAGGACCGGUUUGGGUUUUCACUUUACCUUCUAUAACAGUGUUUGGUUUGUUAAAUGUGAUACGCCGGGUGUAACGUCCAUUUCUAUAGUUUACUCUGCUACUUGAGUCAUCUCUCACACAAGGCAUAUGCAUAUAUGAUGAACAGAGAGUAGCAGUAGCGUAAAAGAGGGGUUGGCGGGUGGUGGGACACAAUGCAGAUAGCCCGAUUAGCUAAUGUGCGGGAGCACUGGUUGGUCGGCCCAAUUGAGGUAGUAUGUACAUGAAUGUAUAGUUAAAGGGACUAUGCAUAUAUGAUCAACAGAGAGUAGCA
Molecule: long non-coding RNA, 8859 nt
Organism: Oncorhynchus keta (chum salmon)
Lineage: Eukaryota; Metazoa; Chordata; Actinopteri; Salmoniformes; Salmonidae
Exons: 3
Source: RefSeq, a predicted model, not a curated record